ACUGGUAAAAAGUUCAGCCAUUGAUUCUUUCCUAUGUGGCUCCUGAACGUAAAAUUGCCCAUGGAUGGUGUCAAAAGCAUAUCCUGAGUUUCAAACUUCAAGUGCUCCUGAAGAAAUGAGAUGGCUGUGCCUUGGAUACCAACGUUUGACCAUCUGCCAUAUGUAAUGUGCUAAUAGAAAGAUGACAACCCUUUAAUCCUGCAUACUUAGUCCUUCCUAUUGGAGAUGAAGUCCUCAUCAUUUCCUGAUGCUUCAGAAGAGCUUUGGGCACCUACAGGAUUUCUCUGAAGACAUCAGGGCAUUUACUAAACCAUACUGAGUGACAUAUGUGUAUGUCACAUAUGGGAUUAUGGGAAUUGCUAAGUAAGGGCUUGAAUCAAUGAGCACCUGGUGAAGGAACAUAGCUGCCCUUGGAGCACAGGUGAAUUCCAGAGGGGAUGGAACCAGGCUCCCUAAGUCUCGUUUAAGGACUGGCUGCCAUAAGAGAAGGUUCCUUAUCUGGAGAUCCUGCUUUCUGGAGGAUGUGGCAAGCUCUGAUCCUUGAGAAAGGUGCUGAUGUGCUCUAUCAGCAGGAAUUUGUGUCUGCCAUGUUCUGGAUAAAUGUGAUGAGAGGAGCUGGCCUCUCAUCAGGCCAAAUGUUGUCCCAUCAUUUGUUUAGUUAAUGGCUCUGUUGUUUGCCUGCCUUGAGAAGAUGGUGAUCUACAUGCAUUGUGGGGGUAGUUGAGUGUGACUUGUGGACUUGGGUGCUGAAGAGAAUUGUUCUCCUUGCCUGCUGUCAUACCAAUGCCACAGGAGAGAUGAAACACAGCCCUGCCACUUCCAUCCAUGAAUGGAAAAAGCAGCAUGUGGAUUUGCUGAAGGAUGCCUGAUUGCAAUAGCUGCUGCUGGGAAAGUCAGAAUGGGACAAGUGGAGAGCGAUACUUGUGCAGAGCACCCAAUGCAAUGGGAUGCUUGGGAUUCCUCAGGUCAGUGAUACAUCUUUGUUUCUAUAGUCUUCUGUGUGUUUAAUACUUCCCU
Non-coding RNA from Coturnix japonica (Japanese quail), 1017 nucleotides. The record is from RefSeq and is a predicted model, not a curated record. Lineage: Eukaryota; Metazoa; Chordata; Aves; Galliformes; Phasianidae.